RNAcentral lists this ribosomal RNA (254 nucleotides) under uncultured bacterium. Its description in RNAcentral is "partial 16S ribosomal RNA". It matches the Rfam family "Archaeal small subunit ribosomal RNA", at positions 474 to 727 of the family's 1478-position model. The record is from RNAcentral.
CACCCGCGCCACAAGUGGUGACCAGUUUUAUUGGGCCUAAAGCGUCCGUAGCCUGUUUGAAAAAUCUUUUGUGAAAUUGUUGCGCUUAACGUAACAGCAUGCAAAAGACACUGCCAAACUUGGGACCGGGAGGAGUCAGAGGUAUUUCUGGGGGAGCGGUAAAAUGCGAUAAUCCUAGAAGGACCACCUAUGGCGAAGGCAUCUGACCAGAACGGAUCCGACGGUGAGGGACGAAAGCCAGGGGAGCAAACCGG